RNAcentral lists this ribosomal RNA (247 nucleotides) under uncultured bacterium. Its description in RNAcentral is "partial 16S ribosomal RNA". It matches the Rfam family "Bacterial small subunit ribosomal RNA", at positions 57 to 305 of the family's 1533-position model. The record is from RNAcentral.
GCAAGUCGAACGCGAAAAGUUCUUCGGAACUGAUUAGAGUGGCGCACGGGUGAGUAACGCGUAGAUAAUCUACCUUCAAGCCUGGGAUAACCCAUCGAAAGGAGGGCUAAUACCGGAUAACACUUUGAAUUGAAUGAUUUAAAGUUGAAAGUUCAGGCGCUUGGAGAUGAGUUUGCGUCCCAUUAGCUAGUAGGUAGGGUAAUGGCUUACCUAGGCAACGAUGGGUAGCGGGUCUGAGAGGAUGAUC